RNAcentral lists this ribosomal RNA (309 nucleotides) under Stalotypa fairmairii. RNAcentral's name for it is "partial 12S small subunit ribosomal RNA". Lineage: Eukaryota; Metazoa; Arthropoda; Insecta; Hemiptera; Membracidae. The record is from RNAcentral.
UUAGAAUAAAAGUAGUUAAGUUCUUCAUAACUCAAAGAAUUUGGCGGCUAAUUUUAAUUUUAGAGGAACCUGUGUUUUAAUUGAUAAACCACGAUAGUUUACACUUUUUAAUUAUUUGUAUACCUCUAUUUAUUUAAUAGUUUAAAAGAACUUUUUUUUUAGAAUUUUCAUUAAAGUUAGGUCAAGGUGCAGUUUUUAAAAUAAAUUAUAUGGGUUACUAUUAUUUAAAUUUAUAUAAAAAUUUUUAUUUAAAAUUAUUUUUGUUUAGGAUUUAAAAGUAAUAUUUUUUUAUUUAAAAUUAUGAAUAAU